RNAcentral lists this long non-coding RNA (506 nucleotides) under Homo sapiens (human). RNAcentral describes it as "HSALNT0351135". The record is from RNAcentral. Lineage: Eukaryota; Metazoa; Chordata; Mammalia; Primates; Hominidae.
GCAGCCCUCUGUCCUGAAGGCCAGUCCCACCCCCACCAUGUUCCCCCAGCAGCACUGAGUCUAUUUCCAGUCAGCCAGUGACAAGAGCUAAGAACUUGUCCCCACACCACCAGCCUCCCUGAUGAGAAAGCAAGCAGACUCAGUUUUCUGGCAUCUCAGGGAGCAUGCAGUGGUGAUUCACUUUCUUCAAAGGGUCUCUGGAUUCUCUCAGCUUGCCUGAUGAUAUUGUGUCCGGAAUUGGUGGGCUCCUGGUCUCACUGACUUCAAGAAUGAAGCCGCGGACCCUCACAUAUCACUAUGCGAAGUUUGACACUGCAAAUAAUAUAUCCUGAUCCAAUGUUGAAAGGAAUGCUCAAUUUCCUGACUAUCUGCCUUUGAAAAUUAAAUAAAAGAAGUCAUAAUAGAAACCUUUUAUCUACAUCUCUGGAUAUUGGAACAUGGGGACUUUACUUAGACUUGACCAAGUGGAUGCCCAGCUGGGACUUUGUUAAGCAAGUGAUGCAAAG